AUUGAACGCUGGCGGCAGGCCUAACACAUGCAAGUCGAGCGGAUGAAGGGAGCUUGCUCCUGGAUUCAGCGUCGGACGGGUGAGUAAUGCCUAGGAAUCUGCCUGGUAGUGGGGGAUAACGUCCGGAAACGGGCGCUAAUACCGCAUACGUCCUGAGGGAGAAAGUGGGGGAUCUUCGGACCUCACGCUAUCAGAUGAGCCUAGGUCGGAUUAGCUAGUUGGUGGGGUAAAGGCCUACCAAGGCGACGAUCCGUAACUGGUCUGAGAGGAUGAUCAGUCACACUGGAACUGAGACACGGUCCAGACUCCUACGGGAUGCAGCAGUGGGGAAUAUUAGACAGUGGGCGGAAGCCUGAUCCAGCCAUCCAGCGUGUGUGACGAAGGUCUUCCGAUUGUAAAGAACUUUAAGUUGGGAGGAAGGGCAGUAAGUUGAUACCUUGCUGUUUUGACGUUACCAACAGAAUAAGCACCGGCUAACUACGUG
RNAcentral lists this ribosomal RNA (484 nucleotides) under uncultured bacterium. RNAcentral describes it as "partial 16S ribosomal RNA". It matches the Rfam family "Bacterial small subunit ribosomal RNA", at positions 30 to 507 of the family's 1533-position model. The record is from RNAcentral.